ACAGAUUUGUACAUACAAAAUUUCAGAGCCUUCAUACAAAAUUCUACCGAUAACAAUGGACCACAGAUAAGAAUUCCACAAAUAAUUCUAAAAAACAAAUACAUAAAAUCUCAGAAUUCAUAUAAACAAAUACAUAAAACCAUCAGUUCACAAGGGUUCAGAUACUGGUCAGUCCACAUAUCAUUGAGAUCAACCGUUGGCCUAAAUCGUUUUCAUGUGCUACAUCAUUCAAAUUUAUUCACGACAAAAGAAAAUUGAAUUAUCACUUGCCAUGUCCAAGGCAGAGAUACUUUCAAAUUAGAUGAACUGCAAGGCGGCGAUCACUAGCCCUACUCAAGUCGUUUCUCCACUCUACAUGGACAUCAGGUACCGCAUCUUGAUGUUGACUGAACUACACAAAAUAUUAAGUUAGCACCAGUUCAGUUUCAAUAGACUAUUUUUAAGUAUAAAUGGAUUAAGAUGAAAUAGUAUGAACCAAUAUAUGAUAUGUGCAGUGUGCAUAAAAAAUCGACUAAAUUGCUUGUGAAAAGAAUAUUAAUAUCUUCAAGCUUCUUUGAAGCUCUACAAAGUACUCAGAAUCAGAAUGUCCUAAGAACCAAAAUGCCACUUGCAAUCACUACAAAGUACUCAGAUUUAAUAUUCACUUGAAGUAAUCGUGCGCUUUGCAGCUCCGUAAGGUCACAAUGUUGUUCAUUAUUAUAUUUUGAUUGGUGUAAUACAUUACCAACUACGCUUAAAUCAAAUGAUCGACUUGCAAUGCUUUUCGUUGUGCUCACCCAGAUAUAUCUAAGACCUUCAUGCCAUGGGAAAAUAUGCAUUUUCAAAAUAAAUGCACAUAAAUUGUAUCAACAUAUUCAAGAAAAAAAAGAUUGCUUCGAUUAAUCUAAGACAUAUUGAAGUAAGUGAAUAAAAGAGUAGACACAAAAUAAUAUUGUUUGUCUCAAUGGGUAUCUACAAAGAGAACAAUGAUGAACAGAGUUUGCCCUCCAAGAACUACCAUUGGUUCAUUUUCCAGGUCCUUACAUGGCAAAAUCACGGCACGAUCAUUUGCACUGAAGACACAACACUGCAUAUAGGUCAAUAAACAGCUUAUAAACUUAUGCAUAUCAGUAUAUGGUCAUUCUUUGAUCAUGGGUUUGUGAGAGCAUUAAACACACCAUUAAAUAGGUGUCACACCACAGCUGAUCUGCUGAAUAUAAACAAAGGCAUGAUGAAACCAAAGCCAGUGAAGAGAAAUCAACAACUGAUCUGCUUGAAAUAGAUGUAUGAUUCUACUAUACACCUUUAUUUGCACAUUUGCAACCAUUUCUACUCAUGCUUUGCUAUAAACAGCCGUAUGUCCGUCUAUCUGGAAGUGAACAAACAAGAAAAAAGUAAGAUACAUAUGUCUCCUGUACCUUCCAGCUACAGCUCCACCUUCCUGGAACUAUAGGUAGAAAACUAAAAUGAACUAUUAAAUUGCUCUUGCCUAUCUUGGAGGUACAGCUAUACACCUUAGGAAGAAAACAAAUUAUCUCACCUCUACCUUUACUCUUUGGUUCAUCUAAUAAGAACCAGCAGCAAAAGCUUUAUCAUGUAAACGGCAGCAGAACUCAGAACAUAAACAUCACCAAUCACAUCUCUUCUUGGCCAGCUGUUCAAUUCAUACCAACCAAUAAAUUUAAGCUUUCCCAUACCUUUCUUGCUUUCUUCUCAAUGACAGAUUAAAGAUAACAAGAUCAAGCUCAUAUAGUGAGUUGAAAAGCCUGCAACAGGCAGCAGUGCUCGAGAUAUUAUCUAUUGUAUUAUUAGAAUGAACGGACUAGAUUUAACUAGCAAACAAGAAUGGUACAGAUUUAAAGAAGCUAAUAUAGAUUUGUACGUAGGAGUCAAAACAUUUUUGACCUAGGCCAGAUUGGAAUCGAGAAGCCACUCAAGUACAUCCAAAAAGAACACGUACAAGUAAAUAUUUGACGGCAGCCAACCUUGAUGGACAAAAAAGGUAACUGGAGCAGUCCCGUUCUCACACGUUCUUAAGGCAAGGGUGGUGGCGUGAAUUCAUGUCGCAAAUAAAAAUUUGACGGCGGCCAAACUAAAUGGGCAAAAAAAGAAUCCGGAGCAGUCCAGUUCUUACACGUUCUUAAGGCAAGAGUGGUGUGGCGUUGAUUCAUGUCAAUUAAGAAAAACAGUGGCGUUGUUUUGCUAGUUUCUAUCUAAAAUAUAUGCAGAAUAGUUGCUCACAAAUGUCACCUGCUCACAAGAACUUGAUUCAUACAACUAUAUUGAUCUGCUUGUAUCUAAAUCUAAUCAGUAAUCAGUGUCCUGUACCUCAUAUAACAUAUGAAAUCUGAUGUCAACAAUGAAAAUACUAUGGACAGAUACAUAGCUAUGAAAUUGAACCAACUGACCCAAUCUGGUGCAUACAAGUCCAAAGUUUUACCAAAUGUAUGAGCAACUAUAUGCAUCAAGCUUCAGACUACUUUUCACAAUUCGAUGGGCGGCAUAGCAUGCUACAUAGAAACAAAUCGUAGCUGGCACACAUGAAAAUACAACUCAUAUGGAACUGGUGGUUCAAGAACUACACAAGAAAAAUACAAGCUCGUAUGGAACCGGUGGUUCAAGAUCAGGGAUGGUGAAGCCAUGAACUGAAAAGAAAAAUAUGGGGGAAGGAGGAGGGGGCAAACCCUUGAUCAGAUGAGAUAGUAACGUCCGCGGAACCGUUGCCGCCGACGUCGCCGGAGGGGAUCGGAGCUUGGAGGAGGAGGGGAGAUCUGGGGAAGGAGAACGGUGACGGCCGCGGUCCGUCGCCGUCGCUGGACGGGCGGAGCUUGGAUCCUCAGCACUGGAGGGAGGGGGUCGGGAGCGUCGCUUCUUGUCACCGGCGGAGGAGCUCGGAGGCGGUCGAGGGCGCUAGAUCUUGGUCGACGGCGUUGCCGUUCGCUCGUCUCGCUCGAGCCGUGGAUUUCCUCCCCGAGCUCUGGGGUCGUGGGUUUCCUCCCCGUGGAAAGGACG
RNAcentral lists this long non-coding RNA (2991 nucleotides) under Triticum aestivum (bread wheat). RNAcentral describes it as "long non-coding RNA (TAES_LNC018117)". Lineage: Eukaryota; Viridiplantae; Streptophyta; Magnoliopsida; Poales; Poaceae. The record is from RNAcentral.